Molecule: unclassified non-coding RNA, 171 nt
Filed under: uncultured Sebacina
Lineage: Eukaryota; Fungi; Basidiomycota; Agaricomycetes; Sebacinales; Sebacinaceae
Description: sequence contains ITS1
Source: RNAcentral
AUGAUUACGAAUCGUUGCCUUCAGUGCUGGCCAGAUCCUGGCAAGUGCACGUCGGUGACUUUCAUCCAAUACCCUGUGAACCUUUGGCCUCUUGCUAGCUUUGGCCGGCAGAGGAAUUUUACACAAACUCGAAUGUAAUGAAAUAUAUUGUCGUGCGCAAGCACUAAUGUA